Molecule: long non-coding RNA, 2033 nt
Organism: Homo sapiens (human)
Lineage: Eukaryota; Metazoa; Chordata; Mammalia; Primates; Hominidae
Gene: MIR9-3HG
Product: MIR9-3 host gene
Source: Ensembl
GGCUUCCGGUAAGAGCCCCCCUGACUGGGCUGCCCACCCCGGGCAGGGGCGGAAACGGCCUUCCCCGCGUGGGGAACAAUGGCGUUAUUUUGGAGUCUGCAACCGCGAGCGCUUCAAGCUCUUUGAUUAUUUUCGAGGAGUGUUAGCUGUCCGCAUUGACCCACCGCGACCUCGAAGCAGGUCCCAGGCGUGUGCAUUUAUAUGCAGAGUGACCAAGAAACUUCAGUAAUACUAGUUUGUGUCUUUGGAGUCCCACUUUUUGCCAGGGCUAGUGCUAACAGCUUCAGGAGAAUUCAGCCUCACCUUGACAGGACAUGCUCUGGAGUCAGAAGACAGCGAAAAGAGAAGCAGAAGCCCCGGUGGCAAGAGUCUGAAGGAAGGAUGACUGUAGCCUGUGGAUUGUACUGCAGUAGGAAACUGUCCUAGCAAGGCUCCACUUUGCCCCAGCUUCAAGCUGGAAAGGAGGAGAACAUGAAACAUUGCUUGAAGACAAUGGCCGAGACAGCAGGUCCCACCCUGCACAGCCACCAGCAUCUCUCCCCUCAGCCCUGUCUCCUCUUCUGCAGUUGGGAUCUGCACAUUUAAGCCUGAAAUUGUCCUGUGAAGUGAAGUAUGAUCGGACAGCCUCUUUUCAGCUUUUAUGACAAUGGAGACAGAGGAAUUGUGGCUCUUGCCAAGGUCACAGGAUUGGAAUACAGAGCCAAGCCACCCCAGGACAUGCAAGAGCCUCAGAAGGGAAAAAAGCCCAGCAGGAAGGGAGAACAAGUAGCCUCUGUCCUGAAGUUGUAACAGCCAGGGGCCAGGAUGGAGGAGGAGGACCCCAUAAUCUGCCCAUCUGGGACUUGGCAGGGGACCUGGGAAAAUGUACCCCAACCCAUCCCUUAAGGGCCUUUGUCUUUGGCCCAUUGGCCUAGCAUCUACUUCUUCACCGUGUCUGUUCUUGUCACACCUAGUCAGGUCUGUUUGGGUCUGAGGUGCAUGGAACAUUCUGGGUAGGCCUCCAGCAAACGGAAGCUCUUCACCGUGUUUCCAGCCUGGGACCAAGGGCAGCAUACUGGCAAAGUUGCCAAAGCAAGGGACUCCAGCCUCUUAGGAGUUAAUGACUCCCUCUCCCCAGCUGUCCUCCCCUUGGUGCUCCUCUUCCUCCCUCCUCCUGCUCACAGCAGGCAGGGCCUAGACCCGGGAGCCAUGCUGCUGUGCUGUUGCCAGGGGAGCACGGAGGCAGAUCUGAGCUAUGCAGGGAAAAGGCCCAGCCUGUCAAAGUGUCUGAGAUGAACCGCCGCCGUCCCUGUGCAGCUGGGCUCAGACGUGUCUCAGCUCUUGUUCUGUGCCUGAGAAUGGCGAAACCCAGUGAGGUUCAAGGGCAAACUCGCUAUUCAUUAGUCAGGGGUUCUUGACGUCCCGUCUCUCCCAGGGAUGAGUUCCCCCCUCCUCUUUCUCCCCCUCCUAUGACACAUUCCUGGGUGCCUUUGGUGAGGACUGCACACCCUCCUCCUGCCUAGCCCCCUCUCCAAAGGCCCCUGAAUAAACUCCCCCCAAGGAGACCAGGCAGGGCAGAGACAAUGGCUGCAGGAAAUCAUUCAGGCGGGACAUGCUGGCCUGCCCUCCACCCAGUCCCCCUGUGGGCCCCACUCCCUUCUGAUUCAGGGCACCCUUGGGCCCCCAGCCUAUACAGGCCUGGACAGGAAGAAACCACUGGGAACCACCCUAAGGACAACAUGCUAGUCCAGUGCCAUUCUUCGCUGGCUCUGUGGGUGCCUUUGUGGCCUGUACCGACUGGCUGGCUAAUUUUGUGGUUUCUGUACCAUCACAUGCCUAUUUUAAGACACUCUCCAGCACUGUCGGUUAGGGAGUGUAAAUUUUGCAAUAUUUUCUGAAAUGUGGCAAUAUCAAAAUGUAAAAGGCACACAUACUUGGUCACAAACAAAUGGCACUAUUUACUCUGUGGGCAUAUUUGUAAAAGUUGCCAAAGAAUUAUAUACAAGGAUGUUCAUCAGAGCAUUUCUUUUGAAGAGUAAAGAAAUGGACAUGAA